AACCAAGAAAUUUAGUCAUUCUUUUUCGGUAAAAAGACAGUUAGGCAAAGAAAAGGCCAUUGGACCUUUAGUACAGGGGUAAAAUCUAAAUACUAAAAGUUAUGCCAGAUAUGGCCAUUUUUAGUGCUGAAUCUGUGACGACUUUAAGGGAAACUGGGAUUGGAUACCCCAUUAUUUUUAGUAGUAAAUUAACUUAAGUUUACCAGAGUACUACGAAUAAAAAAUUUAAAACUCAAAGAGCUUGGCGGUGUUUUAGACCUCUCAGGGGAACCUGUCUCAUAAUCGACAAUCCACGAUAUACCUGACCCUUCGUAGCAAUUCAGCUUGUAUACCGUCGUCGUCAGGUAACUUCUUAAAAUAUAGUAGUUAGCUUGAAAAUUUUAUUGAUUAAUACGUCAGAUCAAGGUGCAGCUAAUAAAAGGGAGAGGAUGGGUUACAAUUACAUAUUUGUAAUUACGGAUGAUAUUUUAAAAGAAAUAUUCUAAAGGAGGACUUGAAAGUAAUCUUAGUUAUAUAAAUAAGAUGAAUAAGGCUCUGAAACGUG
RNAcentral lists this ribosomal RNA (544 nucleotides) under Conus balteatus. RNAcentral describes it as "partial 12S ribosomal RNA". The record is from RNAcentral. Lineage: Eukaryota; Metazoa; Mollusca; Gastropoda; Neogastropoda; Conidae.